CCUCCCCCACAGCAGAUCAUCUCUGCCACCCAACACCUGUUUAGCCCCCAGGUGUGAAGCCACAGCUCAGCCCAGCUCCAGAGGUCUCUCCCUGCAACAGGUGGCUCAGGUUUUGUGUGGAUUUGAGCGUGAUUCCUCUUAAAUCUCUCCUGCAGCUCAACAAAGGCAUUUUAAACACGAGCUUCUGAAUGUUUUCUCCUCAGCUAACGUGGCUGAUCCCAGCCCCACACCCAGCCAACAGCACAGAACAGCUGAUGAAGGUCACAUCGUGAAGUCCCUGCGCAGGGAAAGCUCAGCCAGCCCAGCAAUCCCCGAACUCCAGCAGAGCUGGAUGCCAGGAAAAAGGCUGACAAUAAUGAACAUGAAGCCUCUGGAGGAUUUAACCACAAAAGCCCACAUCAAAAAUCACCUCCACAGAUGGAGGAAGACCAGAAUCGUGCAGCAGGUCUGUCUUGCCAUCACCCUCUGGAAAUCUCAUCCAAUCUCAGGAUGUUAUUGCCAGAUCACUGAAAAAUCUGCUUGAGAUGCUGAAUCAGACGUGAAUCACCGCAGAAUUGUUUGGGUUGGGAGAAAUCUUAAAGCCCAUCCAGUGCCACCCCUGCCAUGGCAGGGACACCUUCCACUGUCCCAGGCUGCUCCAAGCCCCAUCCGGCCUGGCCUUGGACACUUCCAAGGAUCCAGGGGCAGCCA
Molecule: long non-coding RNA, 690 nt
Filed under: Cyanistes caeruleus (blue tit)
Lineage: Eukaryota; Metazoa; Chordata; Aves; Passeriformes; Paridae
Description: lncRNA (ENSCCEG00000003513.1)
Source: RNAcentral